UCCCGUUUAGCUCAGUUGGUAGAGCGCGUUACUAGUAAUGACGAGGUCAGUCGUUCAAGUCGGCUAAUGGGAA
Non-coding RNA from Suillus brevipes Sb2, 73 nucleotides. The record is from the annotation of a GenBank genome assembly. NCBI's taxonomy places the organism in Eukaryota, Fungi, Basidiomycota, Agaricomycetes, Boletales, Suillaceae.